CCCUUAGAUGUUCUGGGCCGCACGCGCGCUACACUGACGAAUGCAACGAGCUUAUAACCUUGGCCGAAAGGUCUGGGUAAUCUCCAAAUUUCGUCGUGAUGGGGAUAGAUUAUUGCAAUUAUUAAUCUUCAACGAGGAAUACCUUGUAAGCGCGGGUCAUCAUCCCGCGCUGAAUACGUCCCUGCCCUUUGUACACACCGCCCGUCGCUCCUACCGAUUGAGUGGUCCGGUGAGGCUUUGGGAUCUGAGCGGAAAGAGCGUUUCGCUGUUUCUGCCCGGAAAACUCAGUCGAACCUUAUCAUUUAGAGGAAGGAGAAGUCGUAACA
RNAcentral lists this ribosomal RNA (326 nucleotides) under uncultured eukaryote. Its description in RNAcentral is "partial 18S ribosomal RNA". It matches the Rfam family "Eukaryotic small subunit ribosomal RNA", at positions 1470 to 1796 of the family's 1831-position model. The record is from RNAcentral.